This 315-nucleotide ribosomal RNA is filed under the name Triticum aestivum (bread wheat). RNAcentral's name for it is "partial small subunit ribosomal RNA". The record is from RNAcentral. Lineage: Eukaryota; Viridiplantae; Streptophyta; Magnoliopsida; Poales; Poaceae.
AUGAUAUACAAAGACGGAACUAAAGGAGCUUAUUUGACAGUGAUUAGAGAUUUUUCACUUUAUAGGUCCAACUUUAGUAGUUGCAGUUUUAUUUUUAAAAGUAGAACAUCGAAUGUUGAUGCGCAUAAUCUAGCCAAACACUCCCUUUUGCUUGAUCAGGUUCAUCACUUGUGGCUCAUUUCUCCGCAUGACCCAGUACGCAUCCCUCUUAAUGCUCAAAUGAAUCAAUCAAGUGUUGGCGCCCCUCAACAACAACAAAAAACAGUCCCUCAACAGAAAGAAGUACGAAACAGAGUACAAGGAGGCACUCACUAA